GACGAACGCUGGCGGCGUGCUUAACACAUGCAAGUCGAACGGAAAGGCCCUGCUUUUGUGGGGUGCUCGAGUGGCGAACGGGUGAGUAACACGUGAGUAACCUGUCCUUGACUUUGGGAUAACUUCAGGAAACUGGGGCUAAUACCGGAUAGGAGCUCUUGCCGCAUGGUGGGGGUUGGAAAGUUUCGGCGGUUGGGGAUGGAAACGCGGCUCAUCAGCUUGUUGGUGGGGUGGUGGCUUACGAAGGCUUGGACGGGUAGCCGGCCUGGGAGGGUGACCGGCCACAUUGGGACUGAGAUACGGCCCAGACCCAUACGGGAGGGAGCAGUGGCAGAUAUUACAAAAUGGGCGGAAGCGUAAUGCAGCACCGCCGCGUGCGGGAUGGCGGCCUUCGGGUUGUAGUCCGAUUUCGCCUGUGCCGAAGAGUGUGAGACGGUAAUGGGUAGAGAAGCCCCGGCUAACUACGUG
Molecule: ribosomal RNA, 468 nt
Filed under: uncultured bacterium
Lineage: Bacteria
Description: partial 16S ribosomal RNA
Rfam family: Bacterial small subunit ribosomal RNA
Source: RNAcentral